AAAGAUUUUGAAAAAAGAAGCUGCUAACUAUCUUUUAAAGCAAAUAUUUGUUUAAUCUUUA
This 61-nucleotide transfer RNA is filed under the name Schlechtendalia chinensis (horned gall aphid). RNAcentral describes it as "tRNA-Ser". Lineage: Eukaryota; Metazoa; Arthropoda; Insecta; Hemiptera; Aphididae. The record is from RNAcentral.